AUUGAACGCUGGCCGCAUGCCUUACACAUGCAAGUCGAACGGCAGCACGGGAGCAAUCCUGGUGGCGAGUGGCGAACGGGUGAGUAAAGUAUCGGAACGUGCCCAGUCGUGGGGGAUAACGUAGCGAAAGUUACGCUAAUACCGCAUACGAUCUGUGGAUGAAAGCGGGGGAUCGCAAGACCUUGCGCGAUUGGAGCGGCCGAUAUCAGAUUAGGUAGUUGGUGGGGUAAAGGCUCACCAAGCCGACGAUCUGUAGCUGGUCUGAGAGGACGACCAGCCACACUGGGACUGAGACACGGCCCAGACUCCUACGGGAGGCAGCAGUGGGGAAUUUUGGACAAUGGGCGAAAGCCUGAUCCAGCCAUGCCGCGUGCAGGAUGAAGGCCUUCGGGUUGUAAACUGCUUUUGUACGGAACGAAAAGGUUUGGCCUAAUAAGCUGAGCUCAUGACGGUACCGUAAGAAUAAGCACCGGCUAACUACGUGCCAGCCGCCGCGGUAA
RNAcentral lists this ribosomal RNA (500 nucleotides) under uncultured bacterium. RNAcentral describes it as "partial 16S ribosomal RNA". It matches the Rfam family "Bacterial small subunit ribosomal RNA", at positions 30 to 523 of the family's 1533-position model. The record is from RNAcentral.